This 267-nucleotide small RNA is filed under the name Arabidopsis thaliana (thale cress). RNAcentral describes it as "unknown gene (AT4G03935)". Lineage: Eukaryota; Viridiplantae; Streptophyta; Magnoliopsida; Brassicales; Brassicaceae. The record is from RNAcentral.
CUUGUGUCUUUUCUAUAUUGUUGUGCAAUCUGCUAGUUUUCCAGUAUAUGGCAAUUAUAAUAUUGUAUAGUUAGGUAUUAGCAUGAGGAAUUCAGCUGACAAUCGGUUGAUUAAGGUGAAAAAGUUUUAGCAAGCACAAAGUUGCAGCUCUUCAAUGGAGAUUAUUAAUUUAGAAAUGCCAAAAGAUAGAUUUGCUAGAUAUAUGUAUAAUUGUUCAGUUAUAUUCAUUGUAAAACAGAUUUCUUUUUGGGCGGCAAUUGAUUUUAU